UACGUAGGGAGCAAGCGUUGUCCGGAAUCAUUGGGCGUAAAGCGCGUGUAGGCGGCUCGGUAAGUCCGCUCUGAAAGCCCGGGGCUCAACCCCGGGAGGCGGGUGGAUACUGCUGAGCUCGAGUCCGGAAGAGGAGUGUGGAAUUCCUGGUGUAGCGGUGAAAUGCGCAGAUAUCAGGAGGAACACCAAUGGCGAAGGCAGCACUCUGGGACGGUACUGACGCUGAGACGCGAAAGCGUGGGGAGCAAACAGG
RNAcentral lists this ribosomal RNA (253 nucleotides) under uncultured bacterium. Its description in RNAcentral is "partial 16S ribosomal RNA". It matches the Rfam family "Bacterial small subunit ribosomal RNA", at positions 524 to 776 of the family's 1533-position model. The record is from RNAcentral.